GACGAACGCUGGCGGCGUGCUUAACACAUGCAAGUCGAACGGUAAGGCCCUUCGGGGUACACGAGUGGCGAACGGGUGAGUAACAAGUGGGUGAUCUGCCCUGCACUUCGGGAUAAGCCUGGGAAACUGGGUCUCAUACCGGAUAGGACUCUGGGAUGCAUGUCCUGGGGGGGAAAGCUUUUGCGGUGUGGGAUGGGCCCGGGUCCUAGCAGCUUGUUGGUGGGGUGAUGGCCUACCAAGGCGACGACGGGUAGCCGGCCUGAGAGGGUGACCGGCCACACUGGGACUGAGAUACGGCCCAGACUCCUACGGGAGGCAGCAGUGGGGAAUAUUGCACAAUGGGCGCAAGCCUGAUGCAGCGACGCCGCGUGAGGGAUGACGGCCUUCGGGUUGUAAACCUCUUUCAGCACCGACGAAGCGCAAGUGACGGUAGGUGCAGAAGAAGGACCGGCCAACUACGUGCCAGCCGCCGCCGUAA
RNAcentral lists this ribosomal RNA (478 nucleotides) under uncultured bacterium. RNAcentral's name for it is "partial 16S ribosomal RNA". It matches the Rfam family "Bacterial small subunit ribosomal RNA", at positions 28 to 523 of the family's 1533-position model. The record is from RNAcentral.